Molecule: ribosomal RNA, 440 nt
Filed under: uncultured bacterium
Lineage: Bacteria
Description: partial 16S ribosomal RNA
Rfam family: Bacterial small subunit ribosomal RNA
Source: RNAcentral
CCUACGGGUGGCAGCAGUGGGGGAUAUUGCACAAUGGGGGAAACCCUGAUGCAGCGACGCCGCGUGAGUGAAGAAGUAUUUCGGUAUGUAAAGCUCUAUCAGCAGGGAAGAAAAUGUUAGUAUCUGACCAAGAAGCGCCGGCUAACUACGUGCCAGCAGCCGCGGUAAUACGUAGGGGGCAAGCGUUCUCCGGAUUUACUGGGUGUAAAGGGAGCGUAGGCGGUUAUGUAAGACUGGAGUGAAAGCCCGGGGCCCAACCCCGGGACAACAUUGGAAACUGGGUAGCUGGAGUACAGGAGAGGCGGGCGGAAUUCCUGGUGUAGCGGUGAAAUGCGUAGAGAUCAGGAGGAACACCGGCGGCGAAGGCGGCCUGCUGGACUGAAACUGACGUUGAGGCUCGAAAGCGUGGGGAGCAAACAGGAUUAGAUACCCUGGUAGUC